This 420-nucleotide long non-coding RNA is filed under the name Phoenix dactylifera (date palm). RNAcentral describes it as "long non-coding RNA (PDAC_LNC022649)". The record is from RNAcentral. Lineage: Eukaryota; Viridiplantae; Streptophyta; Magnoliopsida; Arecales; Arecaceae.
UUAGCCAGCAAUAGGUGUGAGUGCGAGUUGACCCAACUUGAUUAGAACUCUUCUAAUCGAUUUAAGUCCAAACUGCGCGAACCCGAACUUAACAAUUAGAAUCCUUUCUAAUUGGUGAUCGAAUUAAACUCUUUAAUUCGAUCAAACCUAUAAGACAAGAUUGACGUCUAGCAACGUGUCAUGUCUAUCCGGAAAAUAUGGAAUUUGGUGAAAAUACCAAAAAUACCCUUCAGUGGCAAGUUACCAUGCAAUUCAAUCCUUUAAUCAAACUGCAUCCCAAAUAUGUAUAUGAGUAUGAAUAUAUGUCAAACUCAAUUUCAUAUUCAUAUUUUUCUUAAUCUUUUAAUGAUAAUUCAAAUAAUGAAACAUUAGAAACUCUUUCUAAUUUUCAUUCUGCUUUGAUCAAAGGCUUGCUGAAUU